Molecule: microRNA precursor, 85 nt
Organism: Medicago truncatula (barrel medic)
Lineage: Eukaryota; Viridiplantae; Streptophyta; Magnoliopsida; Fabales; Fabaceae
Rfam family: MIR2600 microRNA precursor family
Source: Rfam
GUGACAUUGGCCAAUCACAAUGUCACAAUGCUUGUGAAAGAGAGAGAAACACAAGCAUUGUGGCAUUGUGAUUGGCCAAUGUCAC